Molecule: ribosomal RNA, 497 nt
Filed under: uncultured bacterium
Lineage: Bacteria
Description: partial 16S ribosomal RNA
Rfam family: Bacterial small subunit ribosomal RNA
Source: RNAcentral
GAUGAACGCUGGCGGCGUGCCUAAUACAUGCAAGUCGAGCGAACAGACGAGGAGCUUGCUCCUCUGACGUUAGCGGCGGACGGGUGAGUAACACGUGGAUAACCUACCUAUAAGACUGGGAUAACUUCGGGAAACCGGAGCUAAUACCGGAUAAUAUAUUGAACCGCAUGGUUCAAUAGUGAAAGACGGUUUUGCUGUCACUUAUAGAUGGAUCCGCGCCGCAUUAGCUAGUUGGUAAGGUAACGGCUUACCAAGGCAACGAUGCGUAGCCGACCUGAGAGGGUGAUCGGCCACACUGGAACUGAGACACGGUCCAGACUCCUAAGGGAGGCAGCAGUAGGGAAUCUUCCGCAAUGGGCGAAAGCCUGACGGAGCAACGCCGCGUGAGUGAUGAAGGUCUUCGGAUCGUAAAACUCUGUUAUUAGGGAAGAACAAAUGUGUAAGUAACUAUGCACGUCUGGACGGUACCUAAUCAGAAAGCCACGGCUAACUACGUG